RNAcentral lists this ribosomal RNA (481 nucleotides) under uncultured bacterium. RNAcentral describes it as "bacterial SSU rRNA". It matches the Rfam family "Bacterial small subunit ribosomal RNA", at positions 28 to 518 of the family's 1533-position model. The record is from RNAcentral.
GACGAACGCUGGCGGCGUGCUUAACACAUGCAAGUCGAACGAUGAAGCACCAGCUUGCUGGUGUGGAUUAGUGGCGAACGGGUGAGUAACACGUGAGUAACCUGCCCCCCACUCUGGGAUAAGCCUGGGAAACUGGGUCUAAUACUGGAUAUGACCGAUCUCCGCAUGGAGUGUUGGUGGAAAGUUUUUGUGGUGGGGGAUGGACUCGCGGCCUAUCAGCUUGUUGGUGGGGUAAUGGCCUACCAAGGCGACGACGGGUAGCCGGCCUGAGAGGGCGACCGGCCACACUGGGACUGAGACACGGCCCAGACUCCUACGGGAGGCAGCAGUGGGGAAUAUUGCACAAUGGGCGAAAGCCUGAUGCAGCGACGCCGCGUGAGGGAUGACGGCCUUCGGGUUGUAAACCUCUUUCACCAGGGACGAAGCCACAAGUGACGGUACCUGGAGAAGAAGCACCGGCUAACUACGUGCCAGCAGCCGC